This 364-nucleotide ribosomal RNA is filed under the name uncultured bacterium. RNAcentral's name for it is "bacterial SSU rRNA". It matches the Rfam family "Bacterial small subunit ribosomal RNA", at positions 534 to 896 of the family's 1533-position model. The record is from RNAcentral.
GCAAGCGUUACUCGGAAUCACUGGGCAUAAAGCGCGCGUAGGCGGGUUUUCAAGUCGGUUGUGAAAUCCCUCAGCUCAACUGAGGAACUGCAUCCGAUACUGUCUGUCUUGAGGACGAGAGGGGAGAGUGGAACUUCUGGUGGAGCGGUGAAAUGCGUAGAUAUCAGAAGGAACGCCGGUGGCGAAAGCGACUCUCUGGCUCGUAUCUGACGCUGAGGCGCGAAAGCUUGGGUAGCAAACGGGAUUAGAUACCCCGGUAGUCCAAGCCGUAAACGAUGAACACUAGGGAGAGGAGACCCCGAUGUCUUCCCUCCUGGCGCAAAUGUAUUAAGUGUUCCGCCUGGGGAGUACAGUCGCAAGGCCG